RNAcentral lists this transfer RNA (64 nucleotides) under Drawida japonica. RNAcentral describes it as "tRNA-Ile". The record is from RNAcentral. Lineage: Eukaryota; Metazoa; Annelida; Clitellata; Moniligastrida; Moniligastridae.
GAUGCUGCGCCGGUCGAACGGAUAACUUUGAUGACGUUAAAUAAGGACUUCAAUCCCCGCAUCU